This is a long non-coding RNA of Hibiscus syriacus, 806 nucleotides long. RefSeq lists it as uncharacterized. Lineage: Eukaryota; Viridiplantae; Streptophyta; Magnoliopsida; Malvales; Malvaceae. The record is from RefSeq and is a predicted model, not a curated record. The transcript is spliced from 2 exons.
CCGCAUGUUUCUUCUCCCUCAAUCUCACAGCGCCAUUUUCACUCUUCACUCUCUUUAUCCUCUUCUUCAAACCCUUACCGAAGGGCAACAAACAUCUGGUCGAAACCCUCACAACUGAGAGCUUUCAAGGCGCUUCAAUCUCAACAAACAACACCGCCUGGGCUCCGAUAAAGUUUUUAUUGAAGAUUCAGGAAGAACAUUCGGGUUCUGUUCUUUUAAUCGAAGGAGAUGAACCAACUUACACUAUUUUUUUCUUCAAAAUAAUGCAAGCAUACACAAAGAUAAAGCUGGAAAAUAAAGAGAAAACCCGAAUAAUAAUACCUCGAGGUAUGUCUAUUGUUUUCUCGACUUUUGAAUACAAUGUUGAUAUUCCUGUUACAAAGAUUUUUCUGUUUUCCUUUCUGAGUAUCAAGGAAAACCUCUGUUGUUGAUGAAAAGUUCUUGCUCCCUUUUUUUUCUGGCCGAGCCCCCCAUGCCUUGCUCGAAUGAUUCAUUUUUCUAUCUUUUUCCACCGAAUCAUCUUUGUCCUCUUGUUGAUUUAGGUAUUGACUUUGGCUCAAUUUUCUGCUAAUUUUUGCUUUUGUUUGCUGUUGGGUGUGCUACUUCACGUGGAAUGGUCGAGUAUGCUGAACCGGGUUGGGUCAAUGUGUUGGGUCAGACAGGGUCUUGAACUGCUGUUGGGCUCUGGAUUGGGUCCAUUGUUUUGUAAUUUUUUUUGAGCUUAUAAGAUGGACUCUAGACAAUUACUUUAAAUUUUGGAUCGAAUUUGGGCUUUAAUUUCCAAAAUAAAAUAAAUGUGGUUUCAA